This 253-nucleotide ribosomal RNA is filed under the name uncultured bacterium. RNAcentral describes it as "partial 16S ribosomal RNA". It matches the Rfam family "Bacterial small subunit ribosomal RNA", at positions 524 to 776 of the family's 1533-position model. The record is from RNAcentral.
UACAGAGGGUGCAAGCGUUAAUCGGAAUUACUGGGCGUAAAGCGUGUGUAGGUGGUUUGCUAAGUCAGGUGUGAAAUCCCUGGGCUCAACCUAGGAAUUGCAUUUGAUACUGGCAGACUAGAGUGCGGUAGAGGAUGGUGGAAUUCCCGGUGAAGCGGUGAAAUGCGUAGAUAUCGGGAGGAACAUCAGUGGCGAAGGCGGCCAUCUGGACUGACACUGACACUGAGACACGAAAGCGUGGGGAGCAAACAGG